UACAGAGGGGGCAAGCGUUGUCCGGACUUACUGGGUGUAAAGCGCAUGCAGGUGGCCUGGCAAGUGUGCUGUGAAAGCCCCGUGCUUAACACGGGGAGGCCAGUACAGACUGCCAAGCUCGAGGACUGCAGAGGGUAGGGGAAUUCCUGGUGUAGCGGUGAAAUGCGCAGAUAUCAGGAGGAACACCGGUGGCGAAGGCGGGUCUCUGGGCCGAUACUGACGCUGGGGAGCGAAAGCGUGGGGAGCGAACAGG
Molecule: ribosomal RNA, 253 nt
Filed under: uncultured bacterium
Lineage: Bacteria
Description: partial 16S ribosomal RNA
Rfam family: Bacterial small subunit ribosomal RNA
Source: RNAcentral